UCGGAACGUGUCCCGUAGUGGGGGAUAACGCCGCGAAAGCGGCGCUAAUACCGCAUAUGCUCUACGGAGGAAAGUGGGGGACCUGCAAGGGCCUCACGCUAUGGGAGCGGCCGAUGUCCGAUUAGCUAGUUGGCGGGGUAAGAGCCCACCAAGGCGAUGAUCGGUAGCUGGUCUGAGAGGAUGAUCAGCCACACUGGAACUGAGACACGGUCCAG
Molecule: ribosomal RNA, 215 nt
Filed under: uncultured bacterium
Lineage: Bacteria
Description: partial 16S ribosomal RNA
Rfam family: Bacterial small subunit ribosomal RNA
Source: RNAcentral